This 102-nucleotide Y RNA is filed under the name Piliocolobus tephrosceles (Ugandan red Colobus). RNAcentral's name for it is "Y RNA (ENSPTEG00000008738.1)". It matches the Rfam family "Y RNA". Rfam says of the family: Y RNAs are components of the Ro ribonucleoprotein particle (Ro RNP), in association with Ro60 and La proteins. The Y RNAs and Ro60 and La proteins are well conserved, but the function of the Ro RNP is not known. In humans the RNA component can be one of four small RNAs -- hY1, hY3, hY4 and hY5. The record is from Rfam by way of RNAcentral. Lineage: Eukaryota; Metazoa; Chordata; Mammalia; Primates; Cercopithecidae.
GGCUGGGCUGAGUGCAGUGGUGUUUACAACUAAUUGAUCACAGCUAGUCACAGAUUUCUUUGUUCCUUCUCCACUUCCACUGCUUCACUUGACCAGCCAAAA